GACGAACGCUGGCGGCGUGCUUAACACAUGCAAGUCGAGCGAGGGGGCAUCCUUCGGGAUGUCACCUAGCGGCGAACGGGUGAGUAACACGUGGGCAACCUGCCCUCAGCUCUGGGAUAACCCUCGGAAACGGGAGCUAAUACCGGAUACGACCUCUUUGGACAUCCUUCGAGGUGGAAAGAAUUUCGGCUGAGGAUGGGCCCGCGGCCUAUCAGCUUGUUGGUGGGGUAAUGGCCACCAAGGCGACGACGGGUAGCCGGCCUGAGAGGGCGACCGGCCACACUGGGACUGAGACACGGCCCAGACUCCUACGGGAGGCAGCAGUGGGGAAUAUUGCGCAAUGGGCG
RNAcentral lists this ribosomal RNA (347 nucleotides) under uncultured bacterium. RNAcentral describes it as "bacterial SSU rRNA". It matches the Rfam family "Bacterial small subunit ribosomal RNA", at positions 28 to 377 of the family's 1533-position model. The record is from RNAcentral.